Molecule: long non-coding RNA, 1007 nt
Organism: Homo sapiens (human)
Lineage: Eukaryota; Metazoa; Chordata; Mammalia; Primates; Hominidae
Gene: TCP10L3
Product: t-complex 10 like 3 (pseudogene)
Source: Ensembl
GGCUGCUCUCUGGUCUCUGGAGAUGAGGCGGGAGGACUUGGGGACAGCUGUGGGGACACGGCCCAGAUGCUCUGGUCCCAGCAGAAGUGACUGGCGGGGACCAGGCAUUGGAACCUGCUUUUGGAAAAAUUUCACAUCUGUCAGCUGAUGAAGACACAACGCCCAAAUACGCUGGCCGCAAGAGUCAGAGUGCCACUCUCCUGGGACAAAGAUGGUCAUCUAACCACUUAGCUCCUCCAAAGCCAAUGAGUUUAAAGACAGAAAGAAUUAACUCGGGGAAAACACCACCACAGGAAGAUAGAGAGAAAAGUCCUCCCGGGAGACGUCAAGACAGAAGUCCAGCACCCACUGGAAGGCCGACUCCCGGUGCAGAAAGACGGGGGGUGUCUGAAGACGGAAAGAUUAUGCAUCCAUCUUCCCGAAGUCCGCAAAACUCCGGUGGCAGAAAAUCACCAGUGCAGGCUUCCCAGGCCACCACGCUGCAGGAGCAGACGGCAGCAGCCAGAGGAGCUGACAGAAGCUCAUCAGUCUUAGGGAGUUCUGAAGGCGGAUUUCUCAGCCGCGUUCAAGCUGACGAGUUCGCCAGUUCUGCCCCAGACAGUGCAGAGCGGCAGAAUCUUCCUGUAAACCCACCAUCUUCCCUGGAAAUAGCACAGGCCAUGGACACUAAGAUGAAAAAGGAGGAAGUACAGGAAGAAAAACGACAUCCAAAGGGCAAGGCAGAUGACUGCCGGCGGUCCGGUUUCCCGAGUGAAUUUCCAGGAGCUCUGCACGCCGCUCCCUCCAGACAGGACAUGGGGCCCUGACCUGGAGGCCAGGCGUUUCUAGCAUUGUUGACUGCCAGUUUAUUCCCAGUAAAUAAAGCAAUACGCUUUUCAGGAGGAAGAUUUGUUUUAAAUACUUAAAAAAAAACCCAAAACUAUAGCCUCAAAUAUCUUCCAGCCACCACAUUUUAGCCCUUGAGGAGAGCUCAGUUCCGGAAGGACGCGUCAAGGUGGCGGUGGUCG